This 463-nucleotide ribosomal RNA is filed under the name uncultured bacterium. RNAcentral's name for it is "partial 16S ribosomal RNA". It matches the Rfam family "Bacterial small subunit ribosomal RNA", at positions 28 to 507 of the family's 1533-position model. The record is from RNAcentral.
GAUGAACGCUGACAGAAUGCUUAACACAUGCAAGUCGAUGGGGAAGUGGUGCUUGCACCAUGGUAACCAUGGCGGACGGGUGAGUAACGCGUAAGGAACUUGCCUGCGUGACUGGGAUAACAGCAGGAAACUGCUGAUAAUACCGGAUAAGGUCAUUAAGCUGCAUAGCUUAGUGAUGGAAGGAGGCGCCUGCGGAGAGCCUUGCGGCCUCUUAGCUAGUUGGAGGGGUAACGGCCCACCAAGUCGAAGAUAGGGAGCCGGCCUGAGGGGGUGGACGGCCACAAGGGGACUGAGAUACGGCCCUUACCGCUACGAGAGGCAGCAGUGGAGAAUAUUGGAAAAGGGGGGCGACCCUGGUACAGCAAUCGUGUGUGGAAGAAGACGGUUUUCGUAUUGUAAAGUGCUCUCAGGAGAGAAGAAGGAAGUGACGGUACCUGGAGAAGAAGCGACGGCUAAAUACGUG